This is a non-coding RNA of Danio rerio (zebrafish), 73 nucleotides long. NCBI's taxonomy places the organism in Eukaryota, Metazoa, Chordata, Actinopteri, Cypriniformes, Danionidae. The record is from Rfam.
GCCCGGCUAGCUCAGUCGGUAGAGUAUGAGACCCUUAAUGUCAGGGUAAUGGGUUCGAGCCCCACGUUGGGCG